Molecule: long non-coding RNA, 828 nt
Filed under: Ananas comosus (pineapple)
Lineage: Eukaryota; Viridiplantae; Streptophyta; Magnoliopsida; Poales; Bromeliaceae
Description: long non-coding RNA (ACOM_LNC041393)
Source: RNAcentral
UUCUACCCCUCGUGGUAGCGUUUUUAAAGAAUAAAGGUUUCCGUGUAGGAAACAAUUUUCAAAAAGAUUUUCUGUGGAUUUAUGUUUAAAUAUUGAAUGUAUAAAUGUGAUGUUAAUGGUGAAUGAAUGAAUGUAUAGUCGUUUCUAUAUUCAUUUGGUUGUGGUUGUACCUGGAUUACUCCUUGUACUUGUGCGACACCGUGCAAAUACAGGGGAGACUCUGUCCGCGUGAACAGUGGAUUUCCUGUAUUUGUGGCGGAUCUGGCAUUCCCUGGGGUUAGGUUUUCAAAAAAAAAAAAAAAAAUAUUUUCGUGGUGUUUUUAACCUAAAGGGACCCCGGGGCGUGACAAUAUAUAUAUAUGAGUCCGACUACUAUACUCUUAUGAGUACCAUUGCCCUCGUACUCAUAAGUUGUUUUCGAUGAUAGAGCUUCUGAGUCGGCGAUCCAUACCGUUAGACAUUAUCUCGAGCAUUUAAAACUUGUAGAAAUCAAAUUUUAUAAUUUUUCGACAUCAUUUACCUUACGAUCAAAAGGUUACAAAAUUGACAACUUUUAACGGUCGGUAUGGGUUACUUGCUAGUUUAACGGUGUAAAAGAAUCGGAAUCAGUUGAAUUUUUGAUAGAAAAUUUUAUUCACUACCUAAAUAAAGGUCAAUAACUCCGAUCUUAAAUUGAAAGAUCCGAUCAUCCAUUUUGAGGACGUCGUUUGAUUUUGACCGUUCAUUUUAUACCCGCUUGACGGUGUGGAUCAUCGAUUCGGAAGCUCUAUCAUCGAAAACAACUUAUGAGUACGAGGGCGAUCGUACUCAUAAAAGUAUUGUAGCCCA